UGUCCUGUGGUGUAAUUGGCAACACGUCUGAUUCUGGAUCAGAAGAGUCGAGGUUCGAAACCUUGCAGGACAACAA
Molecule: transfer RNA, 76 nt
Filed under: Bacteroidales bacterium
Lineage: Bacteria; Pseudomonadati; Bacteroidota; Bacteroidia; Bacteroidales
Description: tRNA-Gln
Rfam family: tRNA
About the family: Transfer RNA (tRNA) molecules are approximately 80 nucleotides in length. Their secondary structure includes four short double-helical elements and three loops (D, anti-codon, and T loops). Further hydrogen bonds mediate the characteristic L-shaped molecular structure. tRNAs have two regions of fundamental functional importance: the anti-codon, which is responsible for specific mRNA codon recognition, and the 3' end, to which the tRNAs corresponding amino acid is attached (by aminoacyl-tRNA synthetases). tRNAs cope with the degeneracy of the genetic code in two manners: having more than one tRNA (with a specific anti-codon) for a particular amino acid; and 'wobble' base-pairing, i.e. permitting non-standard base-pairing at the 3rd anti-codon position.
Source: RNAcentral